Molecule: ribosomal RNA, 253 nt
Filed under: uncultured prokaryote
Description: partial 16S ribosomal RNA
Rfam family: Bacterial small subunit ribosomal RNA
Source: RNAcentral
ACGAAGGGUGCAAGCGUUACUCGGAAUUACUGGGCGUAAAGCGUGCGUAGGUGGUUCGUUAAGUCUGAUGUGAAAGCCCUGGGCUCAACCUGGGAGUGGCAUUGGAUACUGGCGAUCUAGAGUGCGGUAGAGGGCAGUGGAAUUCCCGGUGUAGCAGUGAAAUGCGUAGAGAUCGGGAGGAACAUCUGUGGCGAAGGCGGCUAACUGGUCCAGAUCUGACGCUGAGGUGCGAAAGCGUGGGGAGCAAACAGGA